UACAGAGGGUGCAAACGUUGUUCGGACUUACUGGGCGUAAAGGGCGCGUAGGCGGCGCGACAAGUCACUUGUGAAAUCUCUGGGCUUAACUCAGAACGGCCAAGUGAAACUGUUGUGCUAGAGUGCAGAAGGGGCAAUCGGAAUUCUCGGUGUAGCGGUGAAAUGCGUAGAUAUCGAGAGGAACACCAGAGGUGAAGACGGGUUGCUGGGCUGACACUGACGCUGAGGCGCGAAAGCCAGGGGAGCAAACGGG
RNAcentral lists this ribosomal RNA (253 nucleotides) under uncultured bacterium. Its description in RNAcentral is "partial 16S ribosomal RNA". It matches the Rfam family "Bacterial small subunit ribosomal RNA", at positions 524 to 776 of the family's 1533-position model. The record is from RNAcentral.